GUCCGAAUGGUGUAGUUGGUCAUCACGUAUCCUUCACAACUGGUGAAAUCGGAUAAGGUCCUGAGUUCGAUCCUCAGUUUGGACA
Molecule: non-coding RNA, 85 nt
Organism: Hyaloraphidium curvatum
Lineage: Eukaryota; Fungi; Monoblepharomycota; Hyaloraphidiomycetes; Hyaloraphidiales; Hyaloraphidiaceae
Source: the annotation of a GenBank genome assembly